UACGGGGGGAGCAAGCGUUGUUCGGAUUUACUGGGCGUAAAGGGCGCGUAGGCGGCCAGCACAAGUCAGUUGUGAAAUCUCCGAGCUUAACUCGGAAAGGUCAACUGAUACUGUGCGGCUAGAGUGCGGAAGGGGCAACUGGAAUUCUUGGUGUAGCGGUGAAAUGCGUAGAUAUCCGGAGGAACACCGGUGGCGAAGGCGGCUUCCUGGACCGACACUGACGCUGAGGCGCGAAAGCUAGGGGAGCAAACGGG
Molecule: ribosomal RNA, 254 nt
Filed under: uncultured bacterium
Lineage: Bacteria
Description: partial 16S ribosomal RNA
Rfam family: Bacterial small subunit ribosomal RNA
Source: RNAcentral